Impatiens glandulifera is the source of this 119-nucleotide small nucleolar RNA. The record is from RefSeq and is a predicted model, not a curated record. NCBI's taxonomy places the organism in Eukaryota, Viridiplantae, Streptophyta, Magnoliopsida, Ericales, Balsaminaceae.
AUCCCAGCUAAAGUUAUUAUAUUUAUCUGAUUCAUGGGAGGCACAUAUUAAUGAUGGCAGUUCGCUGAUAGCACCUUUUGAUUUGAUAAGGUGUUUUGAUAGUCACUCACCAUAAAUUC